CGCUAUCAUCUCCCUAGUUCCUGAACCCUUCUUAUCUAACAACAUUCAGUCACUCUUGGCAUGGAGGAGAUCCAGCAUCCAGUGAUCCAAGGUGCCCUUGGAGAGCUUCAAAGAACUGAGCCCUAAGAGCUAGGGUGGCUAUGACCACAGCUCGCUGAAGCCCCGAGCCAGGAACUAGACUUUGAGAAGUUAAUCUGGAUGUCAAAUGUACUGAUGUUCCGGACAGACGUGGCCUCCUAAAAUUCACAUGCUGAAGCCUAAUGCCCAAUGAGACUGUACUUGGAGACACAGUCUAUCAGGAGAUUAUUAAGGUUAAUAGAGGUCAUGAAGACAGGGUCCUAAGCUAGGAUCACUGUGUUUAUAAGAAGAGGAAGAGAUGCCAGGAGUCUGUCUGCUUUGGCAGGCUUGUAACACCUAGUGAGAAGCAAGUCAGGAAGAGAAGCCUCACCAGAAACUAACUCUGUGGGUACUUUGAAUUUUUAGCCUCCAUAACUGUGACAAAAUAAUUUCUAUGUUUAAGCCACACUGUCUGUGACAUUUUGUUAUGGAGGCCCUAGCAGACUAAUACAGAUGUAUAGUACUAAUAUACUGUUUAGAUUACUAAUUUUUAUAAAAUUAUAAAUAUAAAUGUGUAUAUGGUUAUGUAUAACUAGCCAGACACACGAAUAUAUCAACACAUAUACCCUCACACAUGCCCUCCCUCAUACAUGCAAAUACACAAACUAUGGUAACUGGAUAAGAAUUGGUAGCUACUCAUAGUAGCUCCUAUUCACUUGCUCAUUCUCUGAUUAAUUGAAUAUUAAAAAUAUAUUUAUUAAGGCUAUCACCACUUAGACUUUGUGCUCUCUGUAACAGAGGAUAUGUUCCUAUCAGUUGUUGUUGUUCUUCAGUCGCCUACUCAUGUCUGACUCUUUGCAACC
Molecule: long non-coding RNA, 920 nt
Organism: Odocoileus virginianus texanus
Lineage: Eukaryota; Metazoa; Chordata; Mammalia; Artiodactyla; Cervidae
Source: RefSeq, a predicted model, not a curated record